Molecule: ribosomal RNA, 253 nt
Filed under: uncultured bacterium
Lineage: Bacteria
Description: partial 16S ribosomal RNA
Rfam family: Bacterial small subunit ribosomal RNA
Source: RNAcentral
UACGUAGGCAGCAAGCGUUGUUCGGAGUUACUGGGCGUAAAGGGUGCGUAGGCGGCUUGGUAAGUGAGGUGUGAAAUCCCUCGGCUCAACCGAGGAACUGCGCUUCAUACUGCAUGGCUUGAGGGAGACAGGGGUAAGCGGAACUGAUGGUGGAGCGGUGAAAUGCGUUGAUAUCAUCAGGAACACCGGUGGCGAAAGCGGCUUACUGGGUCUCUUCUGACGCUGAGGUACGAAAGCUAGGGGAGCGAACGGG